CUCAGAGAUCGGGGCCCAUCAGCGACCUCCCGGCGGACUGCCUAGGGUCGGGUACGGAAUACCUAUGGCGAUCAGGUUAUGCGGCGUGAGCAAUCAAAUACAAAAAAAGAGGGUUGAAAAUAAUAAUGAAAUUGCACUUACCUUCGAAGGGCAGCUAGGGUCUAUUGAGGUCGAAGAUCGCCAGGGAACGUGUGUAGGUCGUGUGGUGUGGUGUGACGUUGAGUGUAAAUAGGUGUCCUGACGGUCCCCGAAAAGGAGGCCCCAGGCCCCCAGACUUCGACAGUGAGUAGGCACCCCCGGUCACAGAAUUGAUUAUAAAGAAAUACACAAGCAGUUACAGUCACAAGCACAACAACAAAUAUUUACAGUUAAGUUAUAAGCACAGCAAUUAAAAAGGUAGCAGUAAAAUAAGUAAGUAAGCAGUUAGUAAACCGCGAGGCACGCGCAAAACAAUAAUUCCAACAAUGGGAACCGGCCGGCCGUCGAGAAGCGAUACGGCCACACCGUGCAGAGCGAAUUCGAGACUGACGCAGCUAAGCGGCGCGGGCGACGGCGACGGCGGGGGGCCGUGCCACCUGGCGAUAUCACCGAUGAAGCCCAUACAGAAAAAAAGCGUCGCUAACGCAGCGAAAUGACUAGCAGUGACUUUGAGAUUUUUG
This 659-nucleotide unclassified non-coding RNA is filed under the name Melitaea cinxia (Glanville fritillary). RNAcentral describes it as "misc RNA ENSMCXG00005012519.1". The record is from RNAcentral. Lineage: Eukaryota; Metazoa; Arthropoda; Insecta; Lepidoptera; Nymphalidae.